Molecule: small nucleolar RNA, 106 nt
Organism: Jaculus jaculus (lesser Egyptian jerboa)
Lineage: Eukaryota; Metazoa; Chordata; Mammalia; Rodentia; Dipodidae
Product: small nucleolar RNA U13
Exons: 1
Source: RefSeq, a predicted model, not a curated record
AUCCUUUGAUUGAUUGAUAAGCGUGAUGUUUGGGUGUCCACGCACUUGUGUGAUAGGUGUCUCCCACAAACCUUUGUUACAACGUCAGCGCAUUACCCAUCUGAUG